Molecule: ribosomal RNA, 512 nt
Filed under: uncultured bacterium
Lineage: Bacteria
Description: bacterial SSU rRNA
Rfam family: Bacterial small subunit ribosomal RNA
Source: RNAcentral
AAUCAACGCUGGCGGCGUGCCUAACACAUGCAAGUCGAACGCGAGAGGGGCUUCGGCCCCGAUUGAGUGGCGAACGGGUGAGUAACGCGUGGGUGACCUACCUUCGAGUGGGGGAUAACGUCCCGAAAGGGACGCUAAUACCGCAUAACAUCCUGCUUUUGAAUGGGUGGAGAUCAAAGCCGGGGAUCGCAAGACCUGGCGCUUGAUGAGGGGCCCGCGUCUGAUUAGCUAGUUGGGAGGUAACGGCCCACCAAGGCAACGAUCAGUAUCCGGCCUGAGAGGGCGGACGGACACACUGGGACUGAGACACGGCCCAGACUCCUACGGGAGGCAGCAGUGGGGAAUUGUUCGCAAUGGGCGCAAGCCUGACGACGCAACGCCGCGUGGAGGAUGAAGGUCUUCGGAUUGUAAACUCCUGUUGCCCGGGACGAAUGGCUCCGACCUAACACGUCGGAGUGUGACGGUACCGGGUGAGGAAGCCCCGGCUAACUCUGUGCCAGCCGCCGCUGUAA